This 490-nucleotide ribosomal RNA is filed under the name uncultured bacterium. Its description in RNAcentral is "partial 16S ribosomal RNA". It matches the Rfam family "Bacterial small subunit ribosomal RNA", at positions 30 to 507 of the family's 1533-position model. The record is from RNAcentral.
AUUGAACGCUGGCGGCAUGCCUAACACAUGCAAGUCGAACGGUAACAGGAAGAGGCUUGCUUCUUUGCUGACGAGGGGCGGGCGGGUGUGUAAUGUGGGGGAAACUGCCUUAUGAAUGGGGAUAACUACUGGAAACGGUGGCUAAUACCGCAUAACGUCGCAAGACCAAAAAGGGGUACCGUCGGGCGUCUUUGCAUCGGCUGUUACCAGAUUGGAUUAGCUAGUAGGUGGGGUAACGGCUCACCUAGGCGACGAUCCCUAGCUGGUCUGAGAGGUUGACCGGCCACACUGGAACUGAGACACGGUCCAGACUCCUACGGGAGGCAGCAGUAGGGAAUCUUGCGCAAUGGGCGAAAGCCUGACGCAGCAACGCCGCGUGUAUGAAGAAGGUCUUCGGGUCGUAAAGUACUUUCAGCGGGGAGGAAGGGAGUAAAGUUAAUCCCUUUGCUCAUUGACGUUACCCGAAGAAGAAGCACCGGCUAACUACGUG